This 497-nucleotide ribosomal RNA is filed under the name uncultured bacterium. RNAcentral's name for it is "partial 16S ribosomal RNA". It matches the Rfam family "Bacterial small subunit ribosomal RNA", at positions 28 to 507 of the family's 1533-position model. The record is from RNAcentral.
GAUGAACGCUGGCGGCGUGCCUAAUACAUGCAAGUCGAGCGAACAGACGAGGAGCUUGCUCCUCUGACGUUAGCGGCGGACGGGUGAGUAACACGUAGAUAACCUACCUAUAAGACUGGGAUAACUUCGGGAAACCGGAGCUAAUACCGGAUAAUAUAUUGAACCGCAUGGUUCAAUAGUGAAAGACGGUUUUGCUGUCACUUAUAGAUGGACCCGCGCCGCAUUAGCUAGUUGGUAAGGUAACGGCUUACCAAGGCGACGAUGCGUAGCCGACCUGAGAGGGUGAUCGGCCACACUGGAACUGAGACACGGUCCAGACUCCUACGGGAGGCAGCAGUAGGGAAUCUUCCGCAAUGGGCGAAAGCCUGACGGAGCAACGCCGCGUGAGUGAUGAAGGUCUUCGGAUCGUAAAACUCUGUUAUUAGGGAAGAACAAAUGUGUAAGUAACUAUGCACGUCUUGACGGUACCUAAUCAGAAAGCCACGGCUAACUACGUG